GCUCCCGUAGUGUAGUCCGGCCAAUCAUUCCGGCCUUUCGAGCCGGUGACCCGGGUUCAAAUCCCGGCGGGAGCA
This 75-nucleotide transfer RNA is filed under the name Candidatus Altarchaeales archaeon. Its description in RNAcentral is "Candidatus Altiarchaeales archaeon tRNA-Glu". It matches the Rfam family "tRNA". From Rfam's summary of the family: Transfer RNA (tRNA) molecules are approximately 80 nucleotides in length. The record is from RNAcentral. Lineage: Archaea; Nanobdellati; Candidatus Altarchaeota; Candidatus Altarchaeia; Candidatus Altarchaeales. RNAcentral also lists the same sequence under 1 other name.